GCAACAGUAAUGAUUACAACUGGUAAAGAAGAUGUCACUAGAGCAGGCAUGGAAAAUGAGGCAACGGGCACUUCAUCUAAAACUAAACUCAAUUUUUCGCUAUCAAACUCAUGAGCAAAGAGUUGAUCUAUAGAGUCACGAGCUGUCACAAGAGUGUCAUCAUCAAGAUUAUCGUGGCUUCAGCAGGCUCGGUAAUAGGAACAGAAUUGUAGGGGAUGCUUCAUCAUAUGAAAAGACACAUCUUCUGGCUCGCGACCUUUUUACCAAAGAACCCCCAUCAUGUUCCUCCUCCUCUUCAGAAUCUUAGAUUGCAACACCCUUCCUUUUUGAUGAAGAACUCAAGAUUAAAUCUUGAGCUUUUCCUAAAUAAACUCUAGAAGCUACAACAACAUUAGAACUUAUACCUCGAAUGGAAAAUCCUGACAAAAAGAAGGAUCAAAACAAAUUCUAAAGGAAAAAAU
Molecule: long non-coding RNA, 461 nt
Filed under: Nicotiana benthamiana
Lineage: Eukaryota; Viridiplantae; Streptophyta; Magnoliopsida; Solanales; Solanaceae
Description: long non-coding RNA (NBEN_LNC024579)
Source: RNAcentral